UGGAUCACCUCCUAACAGGGAGACAACACAAUGAUUUUGAUGCCUGAGUGCUUUUAUUCUUAGGUCGAAAUCCUGUCACCUUAGGUCGAUCGGUACCUCAGUUUUGAAGUCAAGGGUCAGCAACAAUGUUGAUGGCUUGAUGGAGAUUUUCAGUUCCUAAACUUUGUCUAGGUCACACCCCAAAAGGGAUGAGACUCCUGGGCCAUUAGCUCAGGUGGUUAGAGCGCACCCCUGAUAAGGGUGAGGUCCCUGGUUCAAGUCCAGGAUGGCCCAUUCGGUGUUGGGGGUUUAGCUCAGUUGGUAGAGCGCCUGCUUUGCAAGCAGGAUGUCAGGAGUUCGAGUCUCCUAACCUCCACUGACCGAACUUGAUUCCCAUCUCCAAUUUUUUGGAGUUGAGCUCGAUUGGAGUGUGAUUUAGAUGUGUCCGCUGGAUGACCCCAGCUUCCUGUCAUUCCAAGUUUUAGGUUAAAGCCUUGAAUUUGGUUGAUAAGAUGCUGGGCUCGGAUCAAAUGAUCAAGCAAUUGAUCAUUUGAUUUGAAGUUCUAGCAGAACCUUGACAACUGCAUAGGUGAGUCUGGAAAAAAACAAAGCAUCUUACAGAUGCAUUGUUUUGAAUCUGAUCUUCUGAAAGGGAGAUUGGAUCUAGAACAAUGAAAAUUCUUUUGAGCAAGAGCCGAGACUCUUGAGCGUUCUUUGAUUGGUGUCGAGCCAAUCAGAGUUUGAUCUUGUUUUUAGCAAUAAAAACUUGAGAAUCUGCUUUCAACGGCGGUAAGCGUUCAAGAGGUUAAUUGGUCAAGCUACAAAGGGCUCACGGUGGAUACCUUGGCACACAGAGGCGAUGAAGG
RNAcentral lists this transfer RNA (845 nucleotides) under uncultured Synechococcus sp. RNAcentral describes it as "partial contains 16S ribosomal RNA, 16S-23S ribosomal RNA intergenic spacer, and 23S ribosomal RNA". The stretch from base 283 to 355 matches the Rfam family "tRNA". Lineage: Bacteria; Bacillati; Cyanobacteriota; Cyanophyceae; Synechococcales; Synechococcaceae. The record is from RNAcentral.